UGGCGGAGGCCUAACACAUGCAAGUCGAGCGCGCCUUCGGGUGAGCGGCGGACGGGUUAGUAACGCGUGGGAACGUGCCCUUCUCUACGGAAUAGCCUCUGGAAACGGAGAGUAAUACCGUAUACGCCCUUUGGGGGAAAGAUUUAUCGGAGAAGGAUCGGCCCGCGUUAGAUUAGGUAGUUGGUGGGGUAACGGCCUACCAAGCCUACGAUCUAUAGCUGGUUUUAGAGGAUGAUCAGCAACACUGGGACUGAGACACGGCCCAGACUCCUACGGGAGGCAGCAGUGGGGAAUCUUAGACAAUGGGGGCAACCCUGAUCUAGCCAUGCCGUGUGAGUGAUGAACGCCUUAGGGUCGUAAAGCUCUUUCGCCUGUGAUGAUAAUGACA
This 388-nucleotide ribosomal RNA is filed under the name uncultured Paracoccaceae bacterium. RNAcentral describes it as "bacterial SSU rRNA". It matches the Rfam family "Bacterial small subunit ribosomal RNA", at positions 37 to 456 of the family's 1533-position model. Lineage: Bacteria; Pseudomonadati; Pseudomonadota; Alphaproteobacteria; Rhodobacterales; Paracoccaceae. The record is from RNAcentral.